Hippocampus comes (tiger tail seahorse) is the source of this 479-nucleotide long non-coding RNA. RefSeq lists it as uncharacterized. Lineage: Eukaryota; Metazoa; Chordata; Actinopteri; Syngnathiformes; Syngnathidae. The record is from RefSeq and is a predicted model, not a curated record. The transcript is spliced from 3 exons.
CCCUUGGUAAGUGAAUACACUCAUUUGCAUGCAUUGAAUAUUGGUCAAAUUGCAAGUGUGAAACAUAUCCCGACUCUUCUAGUUUUCUGGUGGAGGCAUGCAUAAGGCUGCUGGAGCAUGUCGACACAAAGGGCCUGUUCAGAAUAACUGGCUCUUUUGCCCACCUGAAAACACUGCAGAAAAAAUAAGAUUCUGAUGAGGAGUGCCUGUCCGCCUGUCUUCCUCGUGCCUGGUGAAGCAAUUCUUCAGGUAGUUGCCAGAACCUGCGCUACCCACCGAGAUGCAGGAGGCCUUCCUCAAGGCACAGCAUCUCCCCACCAAGAAGGGCCGCACCUGCGCCACCAUGCUGCUCUCUUGCGUCCUUCCCGGCAAAAACCAGAGUGUCAUGCGUCACUUCGCUGAGUUCCUGCAAAAAGUGUCCAAGAUGAGUGCAAAGAAUAAGAUGGACCGCAGUAACUUGUCGUUAAAUCUUGGCUCCC